CGUAAGCGAAAGCGUAAGUAAUCACUCGGGAGUACGCCGGCAACGGUGAAACUCAAAGGAAUUGACGGGGCCCGCGACAAGCGGAGGAACAUGUGGUUAAUUCGAUCAUACGCGGGGAACUACCCGGGUUUGAACGCAGUCUGACCGCCGAUGAAAGUCGGUUUCUAGCAAUAGCGGAUUGCGAGGUGCUGCAUGGUUGUCGUCAGCUCGUGCCGUGAGGUGUCGGCUUAAGUGCCAUAACGAGCGCAACCCUUUCUGCCAGUUACUAACAGGUGAUGCUGAGGACUCUGGCGGUACUGCCAUCGUAAGAUGUGAGGAAGGUGGGGAUGACGUCAAAUCAGCACGGCCCUUACGUCCGGGGCUACACACGUGUUACAAUGGGGAGUACAGAAGGCCGCUUGCCGGCGACGGCUGGCCAAUCCCGAAAGCUCCUCCUCAGUUCGGACUGGAGUCUGCAACCCGACUCCACGAAGCUGGAUUCGCUAGUAAUCGCGCAUCAGCCACGGCGCGGUGAAUACGUUCCCGGGUCGACGCGGCCG
RNAcentral lists this ribosomal RNA (539 nucleotides) under uncultured bacterium. Its description in RNAcentral is "bacterial SSU rRNA". It matches the Rfam family "Bacterial small subunit ribosomal RNA", at positions 846 to 1395 of the family's 1533-position model. The record is from RNAcentral.